Molecule: non-coding RNA, 24 nt
Filed under: Arabidopsis thaliana (thale cress)
Lineage: Eukaryota; Viridiplantae; Streptophyta; Magnoliopsida; Brassicales; Brassicaceae
Source: RNAcentral
GUUUGUCAGUUGCUGAUGCACCUA